Long non-coding RNA from Cercocebus atys (sooty mangabey), 1321 nucleotides. RefSeq lists it as uncharacterized. The transcript has 2 exons. NCBI's taxonomy places the organism in Eukaryota, Metazoa, Chordata, Mammalia, Primates, Cercopithecidae. The record is from RefSeq and is a predicted model, not a curated record.
CAAAGGCAGGAAGAUCACUUGAGCCCAGGAGUUCAAGACUAGCCUGGGCAACAUUGUUAAAAAUUAGCUAAGCUAAUUUUUAAUCUGCAAACAUCUUUUGCAUUUCUCUAUACCAUCAACAGUUUAAGUCUGAAAAUACUUUAACUUUUUUGCCCAUAUAAUUAGCUUAUAAUUAAUACAUAUUGAAUAUAAUCAAACAUUCCAGAGUUUUAACAAAAUUAAACCAUUAUCACACUCUUGUUCUCACUUUGGAUGUUAUUCAAGAACAUUAAGCUCUCUGACUGUGUCAUUAGAUAUAUUCAGUUUUCCUGCUUGGUAUCUUAAUUAUAGACUGUUUUCCAGUCUAAAGAAGUACCUCUAAUAUUGUAUCAGCCAUCCCUCUCUCCAUGAAGACCAGCCCUGCUCCUUUCACCUAGUCCAGUCACUCAAUAUUUUUUUCUUUUUCAAAAGCUAUGGACUCUACUUUUCCAUGUAGGGUGAUGGGUAACAAGAGAGUUUCUCCUUCACUAUUAUGCAAACACAGACCAAUAUUGUUACUCCUUUUGCAUUUUCUUUGCCUAACAAAUUUCCAUCUGUAUCUUUAGCUGUGGAAGAUCUAGAGGAAGAAUUUACAGAUUGUGAAUAUUAAAAUCCAAACUAAAAGUCUCUUCAUCCAAGUAUGUGAGAAAAAUAUUGGUCAGAAUCUUGUUCAGAAUAGGAGGAAAAGUAUCUGUGGCAUGCGUUAUAGUCUUUCAAUGGGCAGAGUAGUGGUUUGACCACUUACAAAUAUACAAAUAUGGAUUGUACCUUAUUCUCUGUUUUGUCCACAGGUACCAGGGGAAUCUAUACCUGAAGCACUACUGGAGUCAAGGAACUGCAAAGUUUCACAUUUGCUUCUUAGAGGCUAUCCGAGUAGCCAGGCAGCCUUGCUGUCUUCUGACUGGGGAUUUACAGAAUGCAGGAAAAUGAGGCUGAGGUAGAAAGAGUGACUAUACACCCAGCAUGCUGGCUCAGGACUGUAAUCCCACUACUUUUGGAGGCUGAGUUUGGAGGAUUAUUGACAUCAGGAAUUCAAGAUCAGCCUGAACAGUAUAGUGAGACCUCCCCAUGUAUACAACAAAAUUUACAAAACCAGGCUUGCGUAGUGAUUGGAACCUGUAGUCCCAUCUAAUACGGAGGGUGCUCCGGAAGAAUUGCUUGAUCCCAGGAGUUCAAGACUGCAGUGAGCCAUGAUUGCACCAAUGUACUCCAGCGUAAGUGAGAGAAUAAGUCCCUGUCUCUAAAAAGAAAUAAUAAUACUAAUAAUAACAACAAUAAUAAUAAAUGACUACUGCAACUGAAA